GAAAAGGCCAUAGAGUCUCUACCUGCUUUUCUCUUGUGCCCUGAGGGAAGCCAGCCCGCAGGUUCACUGAAAGUAGAUGCCUCUCAAAAGCUACCAGGAGCAGAAGAAAUUCAGUUGUGAUACCUGCAUCCACAUUUUUAUAUCCUGAAAAGAUGUUCAGAAGCCU
This is a long non-coding RNA of Eptesicus fuscus (big brown bat), 166 nucleotides long. RefSeq lists it as uncharacterized. The record is from RefSeq and is a predicted model, not a curated record. Lineage: Eukaryota; Metazoa; Chordata; Mammalia; Chiroptera; Vespertilionidae. The transcript is spliced from 3 exons.